RNAcentral lists this ribosomal RNA (400 nucleotides) under Albinaria schuchii. RNAcentral's name for it is "partial 16S ribosomal RNA". It matches the Rfam family "Bacterial large subunit ribosomal RNA", at positions 1796 to 2524 of the family's 2925-position model. Lineage: Eukaryota; Metazoa; Mollusca; Gastropoda; Stylommatophora; Clausiliidae. The record is from RNAcentral.
UCGACUGUUUAUCAAAAACAUAGCCAUAAGUAAAUAUUUAUGGUAGUAUCUGCCCAGUGAAAAUUUUUAAACGGCCGCAGUACCUUGACUGUGCAAAGGUAGCAUAAUCACUUGACUUUUAAAUGGAGCCUAGUAUGAAAGAGAGAACGUAGACAAUUUGUCUUAAUAAUAGUAUUUUGAAAUUGCUGUAGGAGUGAAAAUACUCCUAAAAUUUAAAAAUAGACGAGAAGACCCUUAGAAUUUUAAACAUAUUGCAGAAGCACUACUGUAAUUAUUUUUUGUUGGGGCAACAAUAUUUCAAAACGAAUAAAUAUACAAAAAAGUCAAAAUAGGUCGAUUAUAUAAUUAUAGUAAAAUUACCUAAGGGAUAACAGCAUAAUUUAAUAAUUAAGYUUGUGAC